UACGGAGGGGGCUAGCGUUGUUCGGAAUUACUGGGCGUAAAGCGCACGUAGGCGGCUUUGCAAGUCAGAGGUGAAAGCCCGGGGCUCAACCCCCGGAAUUGCCUUUGAGACUGCAUCGCUAGAAUUGUGGAGAGGUAAGUGGAAUUCCGAGUGUAGAGGUGAAAUUCGUAGAUAUUCGGAAAGAACACCAGUGGCGAAGGCGACUUACUGGACACAUAUUGACGCUGAGGUGCGAAAGCGUGGGGAGCAAACAGG
This 255-nucleotide ribosomal RNA is filed under the name uncultured bacterium. RNAcentral describes it as "partial 16S ribosomal RNA". It matches the Rfam family "Bacterial small subunit ribosomal RNA", at positions 524 to 776 of the family's 1533-position model. The record is from RNAcentral.